This 520-nucleotide ribosomal RNA is filed under the name uncultured Glomus. RNAcentral describes it as "SSU rRNA". It matches the Rfam family "Eukaryotic small subunit ribosomal RNA", at positions 569 to 1093 of the family's 1831-position model. The record is from RNAcentral. Lineage: Eukaryota; Fungi; Glomeromycota; Glomeromycetes; Glomerales; Glomeraceae.
AGCAGCCGCGGUAAUUCCAGCUCCAAUAGCGUAUAUUAAAGUUGCUGCAGUUAAAAAGCUCGUAGUUGAAUUUCGGGACCAUCGUAUCGGUCGUGCCUCGGUACGUACUGGCAUUGUUGGUUUCUACCUUCUGACGAACCAUGAUGUCAUUUAUUUGGUGUCGUGGGGAAUCAGGACUGUUACUUUGAAAAAAUUAGAGUGUUUAAAGCAGGCAUUAGCUUGAAUACAUUAGCAUGGAAUAAUGAAAUAGGACGUUCGAACCUAUUUUGUUGGUUUUUAGGAUCAACGUAAUGAUUAAUAGGGAUAGUUGGGGGCAUUAGUAUUCAAUUGUCAGAGGCGAAAUUCUUGGAUUUAUUGAAGACUAACUACUGCGAAAGCAUUUGCCAAGGAUGUUUUCAUUAAUCAAGAACGAAAGUUAGGGGAUCGAAGACGAUCAGAUACCGUCGUAGUCUUAACCAUAAACUAUGCCGACUAGGGAUCGGAUGAUGUUAAUUUUUAAUGACUCAUUCGCGCCUUACGG